CGGCGCGCAAUCAUUCCGAGAGCUGCAGAAUUCCCUGGUAGACGCUGGCGGGAAAGCCGCUCCUCCAGGACUUUCCUUCUCUAUUUUCUAUCUGCUCAAUUCAAAGACAAGUGCUAUUUCCACUGACUGUUGUCUGUACAUGACCCCGAAUAGAAGCAGUGACCCAUGGCUCUUCAUUAAAAUGGUCCUGAGACUAAAAACAAAACGUCCAAGGCAUGCCCUCAAUAAAAAGAAAGAAAGCGAGAAUGAAACUGUAGACAGAUACACAGUGUCCUGGAAGGAGUUUUAGUGGAGGAUUCCACUCAUCCAUCACUUCGUGUCCUGCGUCUCUUUGAAAUUCCUUGAGCUGACCCAGCUGCCGUUCAAUAAACACUCCAGUGUGGGGGUGACAAAUGUAAUUUUCACCUAAACUGCGUUGCCGUCAUUCUAAUAUAAAGGCUUGCCUCUUUGAAAUACAGUUCUUUUCCGUCCCUUUCUUUCUGUCUUUGACUCACGUGGUUCCCUCUGUGGUGGUGGGAGGCAACUCUCAACGAGACAGAGGCAACAGCAGGUAUUUUUCAGCCCCUCGCAGGCCGAGCUGGCGUCCUUCCAGAACCCCAGCUCCCUGUUUUCGUGCCCUCCGGGUCUCAAAGCCAGCAUAUUUUGC
This 646-nucleotide long non-coding RNA is filed under the name Homo sapiens (human). RNAcentral's name for it is "HSALNT0344488". The record is from RNAcentral. Lineage: Eukaryota; Metazoa; Chordata; Mammalia; Primates; Hominidae.